This 968-nucleotide long non-coding RNA is filed under the name Naja naja (Indian cobra). RNAcentral's name for it is "lncRNA (ENSNNAG00000004120.1)". The record is from RNAcentral. Lineage: Eukaryota; Metazoa; Chordata; Lepidosauria; Squamata; Elapidae.
GCGGUGUCUUCGUUCGUCACCGCUGUUCCCUAGUUUCACCCCGCCCCUUUCCGUUUUCACGAAAAACCAACAAACCAAUCAAGUUCCAUUCCUCCCCCUUUAUUUUCGUCGCAGCUUCCGGCCCCGCCGGGCUUCCACCAAUCCAAGCGUCCGGGGCUUCCCAUCCGGAUGCUUUAAAAAAAAACUCGCUUGUUUCCAAUCAGAGGCAAAGGAACGAAGGAGGGAUCGGUGGAAGCUUUGACUUCACUCCCUUUUAAAGUCCGGGCUUCCAACAAGGCUUGGCUGCUCUACUAUUUAAGCCAAUGAGAAGUCGCUUCCCCUUUCGCUCUUUCUUAAAAAAAAAAGCCUGCCAAUUCGCCCAAUCGUCUUCCCAGAGAAGCUCUUCCGCAGUCCAAUGAAAGGCGGGAGGCACGCGAAGCACCCAAUGAGGGAGGGGCAAGCCCCCCUCCAGCGUCAAGCGUGCGGAGGGGGGCGCGCGAGGGGAGGAGCCAAUGAGGUGCCGCGCAGCGCCCCUACUGCUCAACAGCUUGUUAUUUGGGUGGUGAGAGUGGCGCUGGGCUGAAAGAGUGACACUCGGUCCGUCUGUGAGUGGGAGCCGCCGAUCCCGGGCUGCUGAGGGGGCGGAGGAAGAAGAGAAGGCGGAGCAAGGCGGGACAGCCCCUAUUGCUGCUGCCGCUGCUGCUGCUGCUGCUGUCGUCGUCGUCGCCCUCCUCCUCCUCUUUGGCCGCUGCUGUCGCGGCUUGUUCCUGGUGGGGGUCGGACGGUGUCUUCGGCCGGGCUGCCCGCGCUCUACGCCGGGCGAGGAGAGCUGCCGCCGUGGACUGCACUCAGCAAGUUUCUUCAACUGUGGUACACAAAACGCUUUGAGCUGGAAUCCCUCAAAUAACCAUCAAAUAUGAAGGUAAAUCUCCAUGUCUGUUUUGGAGUGUGUGAAAGCUUUCUCUGUUUUACCUUUUCCACCUUAUUUG